RNAcentral lists this long non-coding RNA (766 nucleotides) under Ricinus communis (castor bean). Its description in RNAcentral is "long non-coding RNA (RCOM_LNC002741)". The record is from RNAcentral. Lineage: Eukaryota; Viridiplantae; Streptophyta; Magnoliopsida; Malpighiales; Euphorbiaceae.
CCUGUCUUGACAUCAUAGGCUUUAUCCGAUUAUAAAAGCCCACCCAAAGGUUUCAAGUUUCUCACCCAUCAGUAGCCCAAAACAUGUCUGCCAAAUACAUGCUAGUGUUUCUCCUUGUGGUGAUGCUACUCACCACUCACUCUCUUGCUCAACGACAUAAGCCCCCAGGAGGGGGAAAACCACCAGUUCCCAAGCCUUUCUCAAUGGAGGAAUCCUCUAUUGAACCAACCGGAAGGCACCACGGACACAAGCCGGGACACCCUCCUGUUAUGGAGACUGCGGAGGAUGCCCACCACAAGCCCCCAGGGAAGAAGAAACCACCCCACAAACCUCCCUCAUCCAACUGAGUGCCCAACUCCUUAGCCCUUAACUAUUUCGAUCCGUGCAUGUUAAAUAAUAUAUGCAUCUCCUGAAAACCGCCCUUAUUGCGAGUGACUCAAUAAGCAUGCAUGGAUAUGGCUGUGACCUUACUGUAAUAAUAUAUAGCGAGAAGACAAUAAUCCCUUGUGGCUAUUUGUGAUGUUGAUUUCCUUGUAGUAGUAGUAGUAGUAGUAGUAUCUUCUAUGUUAAAAAGAUUGCAGACUCAUUUUCCCUCCUCAUACCUUAAAUCUUCAGUUUUACUUGAAACUUUUUGUUAAGCAGAUUGUGGUUAAUGGAAAUAAUUGAUGUAGUAACUCAUUAUAUGAAUAAUAAUAGUUUAAUGAUUAAUUAAACAUUUGUAAUAAACUAAAAGUGGCUAGAAUGAUGGUAUUACCAUAUAGAAAAA